This 657-nucleotide ribosomal RNA is filed under the name bacterium LB-121. Its description in RNAcentral is "bacterial SSU rRNA". It matches the Rfam family "Bacterial small subunit ribosomal RNA", at positions 782 to 1439 of the family's 1533-position model. The record is from RNAcentral.
AUACCCUGGUAGUCCACGCCGUAAACGAUGUCGACUUGGAGGUUGUGCCCUUGAGGCGUGGCUUCCGGAGCUAACGCGUUAAGUCGACCGCCUGGGGAGUACGGCCGCAAGGUUAAAACUCAAAUGAAUUGACGGGGGCCCGCACAAGCGGUGGAGCAUGUGGUUUAAUUCGAUGCAACGCGAAGAACCUUACCUACUCUUGACAUCCAGAGAACUUUCCAGAGAUGGAUUGGUGCCUUCGGGAACUCUGAGACAGGUGCUGCAUGGCUGUCGUCAGCUCGUGUUGUGAAAUGUUGGGUUAAGUCCCGCAACGAGCGCAACCCUUAUCCUUUGUUGCCAGCGGUCCGGCCGGGAACUCAAAGGAGACUGCCAGUGAUAAACUGGAGGAAGGUGGGGAUGACGUCAAGUCAUCAUGGCCCUUACGAGUAGGGCUACACACGUGCUACAAUGGCGCAUACAAAGAGAAGCGACCUCGCGAGAGCAAGCGGACCUCAUAAAGUGCGUCGUAGUCCGGAUUGGAGUCUGCAACUCGACUCCAUGAAGUCGGAAUCGCUAGUAAUCGUAGAUCAGAAUGCUACGGUGAAUACGUUCCCGGGCCUUGUACACACCGCCCGUCACACCAUGGGAGUGGGUUGCAAAAGAAGUAGGUAGCUUAAC